UUACAUUGAAGCCUAGCGAUAUGUAAGUUAGUGGCGGACGGGUGAGUAACGCGUGGGUAACCUGCCUUGUACUGGGGGACAACAGUUGGAAACGACUGCUAAUACCGCAUAAGCGCACAGGAUCGCAUGGUCCGGUGUGAAAAACUCCGGUGGUAUGAGAUGGAUCCGCGUCUGAUUAGCCAGUUGGUAGGGUAACGGCCUACCAAAGCGACGAUCAGUAGCCGACCUGAGAGGUUGAACGGCCACAUUGGGACUGAGACACGGCCCAGACUCC
RNAcentral lists this ribosomal RNA (274 nucleotides) under uncultured Lachnospiraceae bacterium. RNAcentral describes it as "partial 16S ribosomal RNA". It matches the Rfam family "Bacterial small subunit ribosomal RNA", at positions 52 to 339 of the family's 1533-position model. The record is from RNAcentral. Lineage: Bacteria; Bacillati; Bacillota; Clostridia; Lachnospirales; Lachnospiraceae.